AUUGAACGCUGGCGGCAUGCUUUACACAUGCAAGUCGAACGGUAACAGGCCUUCGGGCGCUGACGAGUGGCGAACGGGUGAGUAAUGCAUCGGAACGUGCCCAGUCGUGGGGGAUAACGCAGCGAAAGCUGUGCUAAUACCGCAUACGAUCUGUGGAUGAAAGCGGGGGACCUUCGGGCCUCGCGCGAUUGGAGCGGCCGAUGUCAGAUUAGGUAGUUGGUGGGGUAAAGGCCCACCAAGCCGACGAUCUGUAGCUGGUCUGAGAGGACGACCAGCCACACUGGGACUGAGACACGGCCCAGACUCCUACGGGAGGCAGCAGUGGGGAAUUUUGGACAAUGGGCGCAAGCCUGAUCCAGCAAUGCCGCGUGCAGGAAGAAGGCCUUCGGGUUGUAAACUGCUUUUGUCAGGGAAGAAACGGUGGGGGCUAAUAUCUCCUGCUAAUGACGGUACCUGAAGAAUAAGCACCGGCUAACUACGUGCCAGCCGCCGCCGUAA
Molecule: ribosomal RNA, 498 nt
Filed under: uncultured bacterium
Lineage: Bacteria
Description: partial 16S ribosomal RNA
Rfam family: Bacterial small subunit ribosomal RNA
Source: RNAcentral